AGACACGGCCCAGACUCCUACGGGAGGCAGCAGUGGGGAAUUUUCCACAAUGGGCGAAAGCCUGAUGGAGCAAUACCGCGUGAGGGAUGAAGGACCGUGGUUCGUAAACCUCUUUUCUUAAGGAAGAACACAAUGACGGUACUUAAGGAAUAAGCACCGGCUAACUCCGUGCCAGCAGCCGCGGUAAUACGGGGGGUGCAAGCGUUGUCCGGAAUGAUUGGGCGUAAAGCAUCUGUAGGCGGUCUCGAAAGUCGACUGUUAAAGCCCAGGGCUUAACUUUGGAAAAGCAGUCGAGCACUUCGGAACUCGAGUUUGGUAGGGGUAAAGGGAAUUCCUAGUGGAGCGGUGAAAUGCACAGAGAUUAGGAAGAACACCAAUGGCGAAAGCACUUUACUGGGCCAAAACUGACGCUGAGAGAUGAAAGUUGGGGGAGCAAAUAGGAUUAGAUACCCUAGUAGUCCCAACCGUAAACGAUGGAUACUAAAUGCUGUCAAAAACAGUGUUGCAGCUAACGCGUUAAGUAUCCCGCCUGGGGAGUAUGCUCGCAAGAGUGAAACUCAAAGGAAUUGACGGGAAUUGGCACAAGCGGUGGAUUAUGCGGUUUAAUUCGAUACACGAAGAACCUUACCAGGGAUUGACAUGCUUAGAAUUUCCGAGAGAUUGGAGAGUGUCUUUUUUCUGUUCUCAGAGAAAAGAAGCUAAGACACAGGUGGUGCAUGGCUGUCGUCAGCUCGUGCCGUGAGGUGUCGGGUUAAGUCCUUAAACGAGCGCAACCCUUGUCUUUUGUUACAACCUUUCGAGGACCUCAAAAGAGACUGCCGGUGUAAAUCGGAGGAAGGAGAGGAUGACGUCAAGUCAGCAUGCCCCUUACAUCCUGGGCUACACGCGUAAUACAAUGGCGAAGACAAUAGGACGCGAACCCGCGAGGGGGAGCAAAUCUACCAAACUUCGUCUCAGUUCGGAUUGAAGUCUGCAACUCGACUUCAUGAAGCCGGAAUCGCUAGUAAUCGCCAGUCAGCUAUAUGGCGGUGAAUACGUUCCCCAAUUUUGUACACACCGCCCGUCACAUGCUGGGAGCCGUCUUGUCCCGAAGACAGGUUGUGAACCUUCGAAGAAGGAAGCGAAUGUCAACGGUUGGGUCGGCGACUAAUAUGAAGUCGUAACAAGGUACGGGUACUGGAAGGUGUCCGUG
Molecule: ribosomal RNA, 1192 nt
Filed under: metagenome
Description: bacterial SSU rRNA
Rfam family: Bacterial small subunit ribosomal RNA
Source: RNAcentral